AUAUCACAUUGAAACACCCGUUCCCAUGUGAUCACUGAAGUUAAGCAAUGUUGAGCCUGGUCAGUUCUGAGAUAGGUGAAAUACCAGGUGCUGGAA
Non-coding RNA from Acanthosepion pharaonis, 96 nucleotides. The record is from the annotation of a GenBank genome assembly. NCBI's taxonomy places the organism in Eukaryota, Metazoa, Mollusca, Cephalopoda, Sepiida, Sepiidae.